Molecule: ribosomal RNA, 247 nt
Filed under: uncultured Actinomycetales bacterium
Lineage: Bacteria; Bacillati; Actinomycetota; Actinomycetes; Actinomycetales
Description: partial 16S ribosomal RNA
Rfam family: Bacterial small subunit ribosomal RNA
Source: RNAcentral
CAGGGUACUCGAGUGGCGAACGGGUGAGUAACACGUGGGUGAUCUGCCCUGCACUUCGGGAUAAGCUUGGGAAACUGGGUCUAAUACCGGAUAGGAACCAUCUUUAGUGUGGUGGUUGGAAAGUUUUUUCGGUGUAGGAUGAGCUCGCGGCCUAUCAGCUUGUUGGUGGGGUAAUGGCCUACAAGGCGGCGACGGGUAGCCGGCCUGAGAGGGUGUACGGCCACAUUGGGACUGAGAUACGGCCCAG